ACCAAGUUGGACGUUGCACCACAGGCCAUUCUUUGGCUUAUAAAAGCCAGAGGAAGACGAGAGGAGAAAAAGGGAGAGAGAAGAGAGGCUACAGUAAAAAAAAAAGGGAGUGAGACAGCUUAUGAGAACGUAAGAAAAGUGAGAGAGUGGAGAAAUAGUGAGCAAGCAUAAGGGAGAGAAGAGGAAGGAGAGGAAGAAGCAAACCGAACGGAAGCAGAGGACCCGGUGAAGCAGAGAAUACAGCACCACCAUCGUCUUCGUCUUCUCAAAACCAGGUUUCCAACAAAAUAAGAAUCGGCGCAUUUGGACUUCUAGAACUCGAGAUAUGGGUUGAACACUGAACAGUGUCUGGGCUGCAGGACAGAUUCCGACUUCUCCGUUAUUGCUACCAUUUGAACUCAAAAAUAGCACUUUUAAAUCUUGGACUCUAUGAAAGUUUUAGGCUUAUGUAUUAGCUUUCCAUACAUAUAAACCAGACCUAAAUCCAAGUUUUACAGCUCCAGUUAUGAUCCAAUAACCGAAUGGUGUUCCAGUUUGGACUCAACAAGCAUCUUUUUUCUAAGCUUAGCCCUCUCUUUGUCUUCUCAAUUUCAGUAGUUAAACUCAUCAAUCAAUCUUUUGAUUUAUGUGAUAGGCCUGUAUUUAAAAUGAACAUUUACUAUAAAUUAAAGGUAUCUUAUAUUAUCAGACUUGUUAUUAUAAAACAUGCUCUAGUUAAGGAGUUAUUGAUACUUCAAGUGUAAAAUAAUGAUAUAAAAUCUUGAUAAAAAUACACUUUUAAGUACUAAUCAGUUAACCUAUUAGGUAAAAAUAAUAAUUAUAUUUGACUUUGUCUACAUAAAAACAGUGCAAAAUAAAAAUUAACCCAAACCAUGCUUUGAUUAACCGAGGCACCAGUUUAACUUUUCAGACAAUUUAUGUUUAAUAAUUAUGGUAAAAUGAUGGCACCGCCAAGUAGUGGGUUGUUGUUAAAUUGUAAUUUUUUUAAACAAUGGCUAAAUGGUCAAUGUCUCAUUGUUCAUGCGGUGUUGACUUUGUUUUGGGCAUUAAUUCAGAAAAUUUAGUAAUGGAGAUGGACCAAGUGCCAGUUUUUGCAAUUGAUUGAGAUGUGUUUUUCAAUUUGCAUGCAGCGAGAAAAAGUAUCCAAUCGAUUAUAUUAUUUAAUUUUUUAUAAUAAUUUUAAUGUAGUGAUGUAAAAAAAAUAUUAUUUUAAUAUAUUUUUAAUUAAAAAUUACUUUUAAAAAACACUCUAUACCAUAAUACCAAACAUACACUAAACACUCUUUCCACAAAAUCCUACACCAUUUUUCUAGAGACGGCUAUUAUUAGUAGUACUAUGAAUAGGAUUUCUCUUAUGUGCUCCUUUUGCUGUAGAUAAGAGAUUACAGAGAUGUUGAAAUUAGUAAUUACUUUGUUUUGAAAUUGGAUAAAAUAUCCAAUAGCCGGAUAUUCAUGAACUAUAAUGGUGUGACAAAUUUAAAAUUUUAUAACAUGUUUUUAAAAGCACAUUUUAUGAAUUCAUACAGUGGUCUUUUGGUUUCUGUCUGAAGGAUACGAUUCAAUUAUUAACAUUUGCUCUGAAUUGUGUUUGUUUAUACCCUCAUGAAAGAUGGUACAAUUAACUUGAUUUAUUCUUUGAUCUGCACCAAACCUAUAGAAUUCGAAAUAUUGAGAGUUGAUAUUUGGUGUCCGGUUCAUCUCCAUCGAUAUAUGUUCACAUCAGAUAGGAAUCAAGGCCGGUUCAUGCAGUUUAUAAGUUUUGGGCACAUCCUUUCUCGAAAGGAAAUGCAUUUUAUUGAUAUAUAAUUCAAUCUAUUAUUUGAUAAUUAACAAGUUGCCGAUAGCUUUAGAUAUA
Long non-coding RNA from Populus trichocarpa (black cottonwood), 1855 nucleotides. RefSeq lists it as uncharacterized. The transcript is spliced from 2 exons. NCBI's taxonomy places the organism in Eukaryota, Viridiplantae, Streptophyta, Magnoliopsida, Malpighiales, Salicaceae. The record is from RefSeq and is a predicted model, not a curated record.